Molecule: long non-coding RNA, 1379 nt
Filed under: Equus caballus (horse)
Lineage: Eukaryota; Metazoa; Chordata; Mammalia; Perissodactyla; Equidae
Description: lncRNA (ENSECAG00000039631.2)
Source: RNAcentral
AACCAGCAAGGCCAUAUGCUCCCCCUCCCCUACCUAAAACCCCAAAUAAAAACCCUUCCUUUUAGCUUUUUGGGGAGUUUGGGAUUUCAGCGUUAGCUGCCCUCUCUCCUUGCUCAGUGCUAUGCAAAAAUAAAAUUCCUGCUUUCUUCCACCACACCCAGUGUCAGGGAUUGGCUUGCUGCACAACGGGUGAGCGAACUCAUUUCAGGCAAGGAACCUACAUCUCAAGGACCUUUCAGUCCACUAAGUAUUUGACACACUCUUGACUUUUCUUACUGACAACGUCAUAUCCACACAUAGAGGAGAAUAUCAAGCUGAACUCUGACUUUGGGCUUAAUUCCUACCAACAAGAAUAAUAGAGUUUUUAAAAUGAAUAUGACAGCAACUUUGGAAGAAAGUUAUCUUGGAGUUUGUAAAAGUAAAAUGUUGGCAACAUAAAUAAAAGUACCCCAGACUUUAGAAUAUCAUAUGCUUAAAAAGUCAGAUAGAAUGUGAUUACAAUCUCAUGAUAAGGGUUUCUAAAAAGUAUUCAAGAGAGAUGAGAGGUUCUCGAAAUUCUUAUAAUGUAAUAAGGAAUUAGACUAAAGAGAAGUAAAAAGAAGGAGGAAUCUAAAGAAAGCCAUGUGACUACACAGGGGUCCUCUGAUGUGCCCAAAAGAUAAAAGGAGGAGAAAAAAACCAAAGGGAAAUACAGAAGAGUGGUGCCAAUUUAGGUUUCAUUUCUACAUUUUCUAAUGCCUAAUACACAACACCGCAGGAUGGAAGAAAGGCAUAGAAAAUUCAAAAGGCACCUGCUCAGUCGUCACAACAGGACAGUGAUGUGAUUGACAGAAAGACACCAACAGACACUGUUAUGGAAGAUGUAAAGUUUCUUCAAUGGCAAAGGACAUGAAAACUUAUGGAGAUACCUAUAGAAAGCAGGAGCCAAGACAUUAGACUCCCUGCUGGUGGCUGUCUGCAACCCUGGAAGAGACUUCUCACCAGAACCUGAAUCAGCCAGAAUCUUGAGCUUGAACUUCUAGCCUCUAGAACCAUGAGAAAAUAAAUGUCUGUUGUUUAAGCCAUUCAGUCUGUGGUAUUUUAUUAUGGUGCCUGAGCAGACUAGCACAAGCCGUCCGUGCGAGAGUGCCUGACCCUCUAUUAACUCACUUUGACAUUUGUUUUUCUCACUAGUGUCCACUUAUUCUUUAAGACUCUCUCCACUUCGUGCAACUUAAAAAAAUACUUUUGUGGUAUUUCUCCAUCUCACCCUAAAGUAUCAGGGAAGAGUAUUUGUCAAAUCCUUCCUUAUUUCCUAGGUCUGAGAUUGCUGAAAACAUAUACAUGUGUCCCCUUCUGGCAGUCUCAAGAUUUGUAACGUUGGAGACGCCAACCUCCCC